CUUUGAGCAAGAGGACAAACCUGGGUAGGGAUCUCUAUGAUGUUUUCUGCGUUGCCCGUGGACGUUCAUCUUUCUGAUUUGUUAGCUGAAGAUGAGGAUCUGGAGCAGGAGCUCGGAGUGCCAUUGUUCCAUGGGCAGAUGUGCAGCAGAGAUUAGCAUUAGGAAGACAAGCAGGGCCUUCAGUAGGCAUAAGGUGAUGAGGUUCAUGCCGUUGGAUCCCACGGGUGCCCUGGGGAAGAGAUGGUUGGGAAGUCUGAGAGGAAGCAGGAGAGCUUUCGGAGCACAUGGAUGCCGUCCAGAAUGGAGAUGGUUGUGGCUCGGAAGAAAAAGAAAUCACCCAGCUCGGAGUCAGGAUACAUUUGGAGGUCCAGGCCGCCGAGUUUGCUGGUGGGGAAGAUAGGCACCAGAAAGGAAAGAGGACAUCCAGGGCAAUUUCUUCUGCCCCCCAGCCAAUCCGUACAUUGUCCAGAGGCCAAGCCUACUGCUGUUAGAAAACAUAUUUAGAAAUCACUUGGUUCUUCCUUGCCUGAACAUCAUCUAUUUAGUUAGCUUGUGUUGUUUAGAU
RNAcentral lists this long non-coding RNA (565 nucleotides) under Homo sapiens (human). RNAcentral describes it as "non-protein coding lnc-PFKP-16:14". The record is from RNAcentral. Lineage: Eukaryota; Metazoa; Chordata; Mammalia; Primates; Hominidae.